Daphnia carinata is the source of this 316-nucleotide long non-coding RNA. RefSeq lists it as uncharacterized. The transcript is spliced from 3 exons. NCBI's taxonomy places the organism in Eukaryota, Metazoa, Arthropoda, Branchiopoda, Diplostraca, Daphniidae. The record is from RefSeq and is a predicted model, not a curated record.
UACAACUUCUGGCUUUUGACCCAUGGCGGGGACGCACCAGCAACACCUUGUUCUAACAAUAUGUUCAUAACUGGUACCAAAUGCAAUUGGACCUUUUAGCAGUCGCAAUCACCGACGUGCCCACUCAAAAUUACUUUUACCUCAACUUACCCAGUUCAUACCGACCCAUUCGAAUCAACACAAGCACUCAAAUCUCUUUUGACAAGAAUAACUGCAACUGAAGCUUUCUGUACAGGUGUUGGUUUUAUGUAGCCAGAAUUCUUAAUGUUUUGAAGUAGUAGUGGGCGCAGGCCGGCUUCUUCGAGUGAUGUUAUGU